This 76-nucleotide transfer RNA is filed under the name Corticimicrobacter populi. RNAcentral's name for it is "Bordetella sp. 3d-2-2 tRNA-Thr". It matches the Rfam family "tRNA". From Rfam's summary of the family: Transfer RNA (tRNA) molecules are approximately 80 nucleotides in length. Their secondary structure includes four short double-helical elements and three loops (D, anti-codon, and T loops). The record is from RNAcentral. Lineage: Bacteria; Pseudomonadati; Pseudomonadota; Betaproteobacteria; Burkholderiales; Alcaligenaceae.
GCUGGCAUAGCUCAGAUGGUAGAGCAGCCGCCUUGUAAGCGGCAGGUCGCGGGUUCGAUGCCUGCUGCCAGCACCA